UACGAAGGGGGGCGAGCGUUGUUCGGAUUUACUGGGCGUAAAGGGCGCGCAGGCGGCAGAUCAAGUCAGACGUGAAAGCCCCCGGGCUUAACCUGGGAACUGCGUUUGGGACUGGUUUGCUAGAGAUCGGGAGAGGAGAGUGGAAUUCCCAGUGUAGAGGUGAAAUUCGUAGAUAUCAGGAGGAACACCGGUGGCGAAGGCGGUUCUCUGGGAAUGUCCUGACGCUGAGGAGCGAAAGUGUGGGGAGCGAACAGG
This 255-nucleotide ribosomal RNA is filed under the name uncultured bacterium. Its description in RNAcentral is "partial 16S ribosomal RNA". It matches the Rfam family "Bacterial small subunit ribosomal RNA", at positions 524 to 776 of the family's 1533-position model. The record is from RNAcentral.